GCGGGAGUAGCUCAGUGGUAGAGCGCUACCUUGCCAAGGUAGAAGUCGCGGGUUCGAAUCCCGUCUCCCGCUCCA
This 75-nucleotide transfer RNA is filed under the name uncultured Armatimonadota bacterium. RNAcentral's name for it is "uncultured Armatimonadetes bacterium tRNA-Gly-GCC". It matches the Rfam family "tRNA". From Rfam's summary of the family: Transfer RNA (tRNA) molecules are approximately 80 nucleotides in length. Their secondary structure includes four short double-helical elements and three loops (D, anti-codon, and T loops). RNAcentral also lists the same sequence under 1 other name. The record is from RNAcentral. Lineage: Bacteria; Bacillati; Armatimonadota.